ACCGGCGCACGGGUGAGUAACACGUGGAUGAUCUGCCUCUAUGAUGGGGAUAACAGUUGGAAACGACUGCUAAUACCGAAUACGCUCAUGAUGAACGUUGUGAGGAAAGGUGGCCUCUGCUUGCAAGCUAUCGCAUAGAGAUGAGUCCGCGUCCCAUUAGGUAGUUGGUGAGGUAACGGCCCACCAUGGCGACGAUCGGUAGCCGGACUGAGAGGUUGAACGGCCACAUUGGGACUGAGACACGGCCCAGACUCC
This 255-nucleotide ribosomal RNA is filed under the name uncultured bacterium. RNAcentral's name for it is "partial 16S ribosomal RNA". It matches the Rfam family "Bacterial small subunit ribosomal RNA", at positions 94 to 339 of the family's 1533-position model. The record is from RNAcentral.